This is a non-coding RNA of Misgurnus anguillicaudatus (oriental weatherfish), 1966 nucleotides long. The record is from RefSeq and is a predicted model, not a curated record. NCBI's taxonomy places the organism in Eukaryota, Metazoa, Chordata, Actinopteri, Cypriniformes, Cobitidae.
AUACACCGAUCGGUCUGCGCAGCACCGCUUGAUAAACGUGGUGGUGAUUUCUACAGCAGUGAAAGCGGACACCGAGGAUAACGCAAACAUAACCCUACUGACAGAAAUACUAACUACAACGUUUUAUAUUACAAUUUUUUCUGAAUUCAAAGAUUUUUGGAAACAUUUGGGAUACUAUGAACCAUCAUCAGGUUGCCUUUAGGGAGGGUGUAUUCCAGACGACCUCCAUACGGAGUGCUUAUGAUCCUCUGACGGGGAAGCUUCGGGAUCUUCUCGAAAAUACUUGGAUUCUCUACACUGAAAAUGCUAAUGAACGCAAACAAAGAUUUUUGGAUCAGUGUUUGCCCAUCACUUUGCAGUACACACAGAUGGAUUAGAUUAAGGAUAAUCCUUACGUGUAAACUUCUUUAAUGACUUCCACAAGAAUUUCAGCAUAUUCAUUAGCAUGUCGCUGAUUUCCGACUUUCUUGAAGGCGUCAUCAAAAUAAAUAUGGAAUUCAAACUCUUCACCAGUAUUUGUGCCGGACUUUGGUCUGUAUUUAUCGAGCCUGGUAAGAAAAUCAAACAGUACUGCUAUUAAAAUUCACUUGAUAAAAGCCGAGUACUGAAAGUGGAGAUUACUGUAUGUUUACCUGAACAUAGAGAUGAUAAUCUUCAUCAUUUCAUCAUAGGUCUCAUGCCACAUUGUUGCACACGGAAACACUCUGAUGGUUUCUUUUACUCUGAGGACAAUACGUAUUCACAAAGUGAGCCAUUUCAACUCAUAAAAUCAAAGUUUUUCCUUCAGAAAGAAAACUUACCGUUUAUCCUUGUGUCUUUUUUUGAUCUCAAAACGGGUGUUCAGCAACAUGGACUGUUCCAGAAAUGCUCCCUCAUACAUGCGGCGCACAAACAAAUCUUUUGUCCUUUCUAUUCGGUUGAUCUUCAGGUACCAGGCAUAAAUUGUACUGAGAAUGAGUCCCAACCACCAGCAGAGAGCAGAGCUGCCCAUGCAUGCCAGUCCUUGAGUUGUUUGGUUUCUCACAAUGUUUCUGGCACAAAGAGUUCUUUUCACAUCCAAUAUCAUCAGUUCCAUAAAUUUGGCAUCAGGCGUCUUUUGAAUUCUCUGACAAUAGGUUGUAUUUUCCUUCGAUCCAAAGGGCAUAACUGCAGCUGGAAUCAAUGCCACCACCAAAACUGUAGCUGACGCCAGGUACAUGGGCAGGAUGAAGCUGCGCCGCAUGGCAUGCAUUUUACAAGCCACAACCACAAACCAGCGACACAAGGCGGAGGACGCAAUCUGGAUUCCCACCAAUGCAAUCAAAACUGUAUGGCCAGGUAAAGUUACUGAUUCCCAUUUCUGCUUUGUUAUAGGAACAUAAGCUCCAAGCACACCUGCAGUAACCCCAAUUCUCAUCAAACUGGAGAGGAUGCAGACCACAUUUUGAGACUUAACUAUGUCUUCACAAAUGUCCUUUAAAAACUUGACUUUAAACAGUGUACUGUAGUUCUCCCACCAGUUCAGAGAAACUAAGAUGGUUCCUAAGAUGGCAAGCCCGACUGAUAUUUUUAAAAUAGUAGUGCUUUCUUCUGACACCAGAUAGCUGACUGCAAAAAGGACGUAACCCAGGAUGAUGAGAAGAAUGGAGCACACAGGUAUUAUUAUAAAGCGCUUCAUGUCACCAGCAGAGCACUGAGCAAACACUUGGAAGACUGCGGACAGGAUGCUCACACUAUUUAGUAUCAUCACAUUAGUGACAAUGUCAAAGUGUGGCAUGGCAAUGACUGCUAGGAUUGCAGCUCCAAAUCCUACCAGGAACUCGACACCAAGCACCUACAGUAGAAGAAAGUUCAGCCCUGUCUACGCCCUGAGGAAUUGUCUGUGGUGCCGUAGGUCUUCUUCUUGAUUGCCAAGGAACUAUCAGUGUUGGGCUCUGUCUCAUCAGCCAGCUCAUCUUCACCAAUGAUGCCACAUUUCUCAUCACUG